Daucus carota subsp. sativus is the source of this 2463-nucleotide RNA transcript. It is a transcript of the gene named ankyrin repeat-containing protein ITN1-like, with no coding region annotated. Lineage: Eukaryota; Viridiplantae; Streptophyta; Magnoliopsida; Apiales; Apiaceae. The transcript has 4 exons. The record is from RefSeq and is a predicted model, not a curated record.
CUGUUUUUCUCUUCUUCUUUUUUGAAACGUGACUUUUCUGUUUUCUCUUCUUAUUCUCUCUCUUACGCUUUCUUCCUCUGUAACAAACUUACACUUUCUCUCUCUGUAACAAACUCAGGGCAUAUUGAUUUCCACACUUUCUUCUGUUAAUAGUUCGAUAUACAAGGUGCCCUGGUCUAAUUAUGGAAACUGAGACUUUGUUUAAAGAUGCUCUUGCAGGAAUAUUCAGUGCCAAACUGGAAUUGCGGAAGAUAGCUCAGAGACUGAGCCGACAUGAUAGAACUAUCCUUCAUAUUGCAUCUAAGGAUGGAAGUUUAGAGCAAGUGCGAUACAUUCUAAAGGAAUUUGCCGACAACAAUAUUUUAAUGAAGUUGGAUUCCAAUCAAGAAACCGCACUUCACCUUGCAGCAUUUUAUGGACACACUGAAGUGGUUAAGCUCCUCAUCGAAGCAGCCCAAUGUUUGUUGCCUGCUUCAGGUGAUGUUAGCUUUGAAACUUUUGUGAGGCAACCUAAUACAAGUAGGAACACUGCCUUACACCUAGCUGUGGCCAAUGGUAGCCUGGGUUGUGCUAGACUGUUAGUAGAGGCAGAUAAAGAGGAUCGGCAUAUCCCAAACUGUCAAGGUGAACCUCCGGUCUACCUAGCUGCCAAAUUGGGGUAUAACAAAAUCGUUAAGAUGAUCUGUGAAACUUGCACAGCUCCAAGUUUAUCUGGUCCUGAUGAUGGUUCGACUGCGUUACAUGCUGCUAUUAAGAUGCUCCCUCGAGCAAAAACAGAAGACAGAGACGUGGUUGAGGUACUGAUUGGUGCAGUCAGACGUUCAAUUUCUUCAUCAAAUAUUGAAGCUUUUGUUAGACAAUCUGAUGCAAACGAGGAAACUGCCUUGCACCUGGCAGUGCAAGGAAAGCACUUGGAUGUGGUCCGGCUAAUAUUAGAGGUAGAUCGCAGAUAUCCGCAUGAAGAUAGAAAUAAGGACUUGAAGAGUCCAAUCUACAUAGCAGCCGAACAAGGGUCAAAGUCUAUAGUGAAAUUACUCUGUGGAACUUCGGAAUUUGGAUACACGACAUUGGGUCCUGAAGAUGAAACGGCUUUGCAUGCUGCUAUCUUAGGAAGCAAUGCAGAAUGCGUAAGAUCUGUCUUGGAUAGAGCCCCGUAUCUUGUAUCCUAUGUUGACAAAAAGGGCGGACACCGCUGCAUUAUGCAGCAUUUCAUAAAUUUGAUUCGGUACUUGCGGGUAUAAUAGAGAAGCAAAAGUUAGUCGGAUACCAAUCUGUGUACGGAUAUCAGGUGCCGACUCCACUUUGUGUAGCAGCUACAGAAGGACAUAUUUCUACUGUGAAACAACUUAUGACAUUGUUGCCUUGGUCAUGUUCCCAAGCUAAUCACCAGGGUCAAAACAUACUGCACAUUGCAGCAUUUAAUAGAAACAAAGAGAUGGUACGGUGUAUUUUGAAAUAUUGUCCAAAAGAUUGCAUUAACAAAAUUAUAAAUGAUAAGGAUGAAAAUGGCGACACGCCCCUUCAUUUGCUUAUAAGCCAGGGUUGCUUUGUUCCCGAACUCAUAAAUCACAAGGAAGCUGAUACCUUGGCAAGGAACAAUCAAAACUGGACUCCUUUCGACAUGUUAUACUCCCAGGACAGAGUCAAAGGCGACCAGUUACAAAUAAAAAAAGCCGUGGAUGGUGUCCAAGCUGAUCAUAAGAACCGGAGUAGAAGCAGUUUGAAGGGAAAGUCUUAUCCGGAAGAAAGUGACAUUGAAGAUAAUCAACAACCGAUGCAAGAUAAUCAAAAAUGGACAUUCUGGCGUAAUAGCAGACAGGUAAAGCUGAAAACCGAGGAAAGUCUGGUUCCCCCAAUUAUCAGGUCAAGAAAAGAAGCAAAAUUUAAGAGAGCUAAGAAAAGGGUAAUGAAAGAAGAGCUUGAAGUUUACCGGACACGGACCAACACUCAAAUUAUAGUUACUGCGCUGAUAACUACAGUAACUUUCACUGUUGGAUUUACAUUGCCGGGGGGUUACCAUCAAAGUGGGGAAGAUGACCAAGGUUUAGCUGUUCUCUCGAAAAAGUCACUUUUUACUGCCUUCAUGGUAACAGAUGCCGUGGCUCUGUUAUUAUCAACGUCUUCUUUAUUUCUUUACUUCAUCUCAACAAUGUAUCAAACUCCCCACAGAGUGUCACAACUAAAUGCUGCAUCAACCGGACUCAACAUUAUUUCUAUAAUCACAAUGAUGUUGACCUUUUUGACAGGAUCAUAUCUGGUGCUAUCUGACUCACCCGCCCUUGCCGUUAGUGUUUGUGUUAUCAUUUGUCUUUUCUUUCUUCUCGUUAUUGUAUUAUCGAUCCUGAUGUUAUAUGACCGGAAAAAGGAGAAGGAUGAUGAAGUGUGAGUAUGUUGGCUAUUGUUUUUAACUCUUUAAUGUACUUCUAGUUUUCAAGGUUUAAAUAAAUUUAUUAUUUGUGAGAA